This 459-nucleotide ribosomal RNA is filed under the name uncultured bacterium. Its description in RNAcentral is "bacterial SSU rRNA". It matches the Rfam family "Bacterial small subunit ribosomal RNA", at positions 28 to 490 of the family's 1533-position model. The record is from RNAcentral.
GACGAACGCUGGCGGCGUGCCUAACACAUGCAAGUCGAACGAAGCUUGACGAACGAUUCUUCGGAUGAAUUCUGAUAUGACUGAGUGGCGGACGGGUGAGUAACGCGUGAGCAACCUGCCCUUCAGAGGGGGAUAGUGUCUGGAAACGGACAGUAAUACCGCAUAAUGUACAUUGAUGGCAUCUUCGAUGUACCAAAGCUUUUGCGCUGAAGGAUGGGCUCGCGUCUGAUUAGAUAGUUGGUGGGGUAAUGGCCUACCAAGUCGACGAUCAGUAGCCGGACUGAGAGGUUGAACGGCCACAUUGGGACUGAGACACGGCCCAGACUCCUACGGGAGGCAGCAGUGGGAUAUUGCACAAUGGAGGAAACUCUGAUGCAGCGACGCCGCGUGAGCGAAGAAGUAUUUCGGUAUGUAAAGCUCUGUCAGCAGGGAAGAUAAUGACGGUACCUGACCAAGAAG